GGUUAAGUGACUAAGCGUACACGGUGGAUGCCUUGGCAGUCAGAGGCGAUGAAGGACGUAUUAACUUGCGAUAAGCCCAGAUUAGGCAGUAAAAGCCACUUGAGUCUGGGAUUUCCGAAUGGGGAAACCCAACUGCAUAAGCAGUUACUGUUAACUGAAUACAUAGGUUAACAGGGCGAACCGGGG
RNAcentral lists this ribosomal RNA (186 nucleotides) under Vibrio parahaemolyticus. RNAcentral describes it as "partial 23S ribosomal RNA". It matches the Rfam family "Bacterial large subunit ribosomal RNA", at positions 1 to 189 of the family's 2925-position model. Lineage: Bacteria; Pseudomonadati; Pseudomonadota; Gammaproteobacteria; Vibrionales; Vibrionaceae. The record is from RNAcentral.